RNAcentral lists this ribosomal RNA (253 nucleotides) under uncultured bacterium. RNAcentral describes it as "partial 16S ribosomal RNA". It matches the Rfam family "Archaeal small subunit ribosomal RNA", at positions 474 to 727 of the family's 1478-position model. The record is from RNAcentral.
UACCAGCACCCCGAGUGGUCGGGACGAUUAUUGGGCCUAAAGCAUCCGUAGCCGGUCCUGCAAGUCUUCCGUUAAAUCCAGCUGCUCAACAGAUGGGCUGCGGGAGAUACUACAGGGCUAGGAGGCGGGAGAGGCAAGCGGUACUUUAUGGGUAGGGGUAAAAUCCGUUGAUCCAUAGAAGACCACCAGUGGCGAAGGCGGCUUGCCAGAACGCGCUCGACGGUGAGGGAUGAAAGCUGGGGGAGCAAACCGG